This 496-nucleotide ribosomal RNA is filed under the name uncultured bacterium. Its description in RNAcentral is "partial 16S ribosomal RNA". It matches the Rfam family "Bacterial small subunit ribosomal RNA", at positions 28 to 506 of the family's 1533-position model. The record is from RNAcentral.
GAUGAACGCUGGCGGCGUGCCUAAUACAUGCAAGUCGAGCGAACAGACGAGGAGCUUGCUCCUCUGACGUUAGCGGCGGACGGGUGAGUAACACGUGGAUAACCUACCUAUAAGACUGGGAUAACUUCGGGAAACCGGAGCUAAUACCGGAUAAUAUAUUGAACCGCAUGGUUCAAUAGUGAAAGACGGUUUUGCUGUCACUUAUAGAUGGAUCCGCGCCGCAUUAGCUAGUUGGUAAGGUAACGGCUUACCAAGGCAACGAUGCGUAGCCGACCUGAGAGGGUGAUCGGCCACACUGGAACUGAGAAACGGUCCAGACUCCUACGGGAGGCAGCAGUAGGGAAUCUGCCGCAAUGGGCGAAAGCCUGACGGAGCAACGCCGCGUGAGUGAUGAAGGUCUUCGGAUCGUAAAACUCUGUUAUUAGGGAAGAACAAAUGUGUAAGUAACUAUGCACGUCUUGACGGUACCUAAUCAGAAAGCCACGGCUAACUACGG